This 868-nucleotide ribosomal RNA is filed under the name Aureobasidium proteae. RNAcentral's name for it is "eukaryotic LSU rRNA". It matches the Rfam family "Eukaryotic large subunit ribosomal RNA", at positions 69 to 955 of the family's 3401-position model. Lineage: Eukaryota; Fungi; Ascomycota; Dothideomycetes; Dothideales; Saccotheciaceae. The record is from RNAcentral.
CAGGGAUUGCCCUAGUAACGGCGAGUGAAGCGGCAACAGCUCAAAUUUGAAAGCUAGCCUUCGGGUUCGCAUUGUAAUUUGUAGAGGAUGAUUUGGGGAAGCCGCCUGUCUAAGUUCCUUGGAACAGGACGUCAUAGAGGGUGAGAAUCCCGUAUGUGACAGGAAAUGGCACCCUAUGUAAAUCUCCUUCGACGAGUCGAGUUGUUUGGGAAUGCAGCUCUAAAUGGGAGGUAAAUUUCUUCUAAAGCUAAAUAUUGGCGAGAGACCGAUAGCGCACAAGUAGAGUGAUCGAAAGAUGAAAAGCACUUUGGAAAGAGAGUUAAAAAGCACGUGAAAUUGUUGAAAGGGAAGCGCUUGCAAUCAGACUUGUUUAAACUGUUCGGCCGGUCUUCUGACCGGUUUACUCAGUUUGGACAGGCCAGCAUCAGUUUCGGCGGCCGGAUAAAGGCUCUGGGAAUGUGGCCUCCACUUCGGUGGAGGUGUUAUAGCCCAGGGUGUAAUACGGCCAGCCGGGACUGAGGUCCGCGCUUCGGCUAGGAUGCUGGCGUAAUGGUUGUAAGCGACCCGUCUUGAAACACGGACCAAGGAGUCUAACAUCUAUGCGAGUGUUCGGGUGUCAAACCCCUGCGCGUAAUGAAAGUGAACGGAGGUGGGAACCCGCAAGGGUGCACCAUCGACCGAUCCUGAUGUCUUCGGAUGGAUUUGAGUAAGAGCAUAGCUGUUGGGACCCGAAAGAUGGUGAACUAUGCCUGAAUAGGGUGAAGCCAGAGGAAACUCUGGUGGAGGCUCGCAGCGGUUCUGACGUGCAAAUCGAUCGUCAAAUUUGGGUAUAGGGGCGAAAGACUAAUCGAACUAUCUAGUAGCUGGU